RNAcentral lists this ribosomal RNA (408 nucleotides) under uncultured bacterium. RNAcentral's name for it is "bacterial SSU rRNA". It matches the Rfam family "Bacterial small subunit ribosomal RNA", at positions 28 to 430 of the family's 1533-position model. The record is from RNAcentral.
GACGAACGCUGGCGGCGUGCUUAACACAUGCAAGUGGAGCGACGAACCGGGCUUCGGCCCGGGGCAGAGCCGCGAACGGGUGAGUAACACGUGGGUAACGUACCCCGACGACCGGGACAACCCGAGGAAACUCGGGCUAAUACCGGAUGAGCCCUCCCACCUCAAGGUGGGCGGGGAAAAGUAGCUUCGGCUUCCGCAUCGGGAUCGGCCCGCGGCCCAUUAGCUUGUUGGUGGGGUAACGGCCCACCAAGGCGACGAUGGGUAGCUGGUCUGAGAGGACGAUCAGCCACACUGGGACUGAGACACGGCCCAGACUCCUACGGGAGGCAGCAGUGGGGAAUCUUGCGCAAUGCGCGAAAGCGUGACGCAGCAACGCCGCGUGAGGGAAGACGGCUUUCGGUUGUAACU